Molecule: long non-coding RNA, 294 nt
Filed under: Gossypium barbadense (sea-island cotton)
Lineage: Eukaryota; Viridiplantae; Streptophyta; Magnoliopsida; Malvales; Malvaceae
Description: long non-coding RNA (GBAR_LNC007989)
Source: RNAcentral
GCACUUAUUUGCUAUGGCCGAAUGAGUACAUUUCGGUAUAAAUCUUCCUUUUAAAUUCCAAUCCUCUGAAUUGCUCCUUGAUUCUUGGCCAAUUUCAGAGUUUGAAUCCUAACCGCUGAUGUGCAGCCUUAUCCACCGCUUCAUCAUGCUGCUAAGAGGAGUUUCGGUCAAACUCUAACUCUCCCUCACGUGAACAGCAAAAUUGGUAGCCAUUGGGCGUAUAACAACAGCUCGAACUCCAGACCUCAGUCCACCCUUGCACCUAUGUUCGUGCUGCUGGCCACUGCAUCAGGC